AGAAAGAUCAGUGCACAUACUGCAAGGAGAUAGGGCAUUGGGCCUGAGAUUGUCAGAAAAAGGCUGGCGGGAAGGGAAGCAAGACUGAUGGAGUAAAAGUCUUAGAGCUAGAUGAACUGAGUGAUUAGGGGAGUUGGGGUUCGGACCCUCUCCCUGAACCCAGGGUAACUCUUAAAGUGGAGGGGACUCCUGUUGACUUCCUUGUCAACACCGGAGCACAACAUUUGGUCCUCCGCACCCCACAAGGAAAGCUAGCCAGCAAGAAGUCCUGGGUACAAGGGGCAACUGGUAUGAGCCAGUAUUCAUGGACUACCCGAAGAACAGUAGAUUUGGGGACGGGACGGGUAUCCCACUCCUUUAUGGUAAUACCGGAGUGCCCCUACCAGCUGUUAGGAUGGGACUUACUGACCAAGAUUGGAGCUCAGAUAACUUUCAGACAAGGGGGGCCUCAGGUCACCAUACCCCAUGUCUCAGGAGGGCUGGAAGGGGAUCCAGCCACACAUCCAGAGACUACAAAGCCUAGGGGUACUAGUUCCUUGCCAGUCUCCCUGGAACACCCCCCUACUGCCAGUCAAAAAGCAUCACACAAAUGACUAUCGACUGAUACAAGACCUCCGGGAAGUAAAUAAGAGGGCCACAGACAUACACCCAACUGUUCCCAACCCAUAUACUCUCUUGAGCUCCUUGGCACCCUCCAGGGUCUGGUAUACUGUACUAGAUUUAAAGGACUCCUUCUUCAGUCUGCCGCUGGCACCCCAAAGCCAACCCUUGUUCACCUUCGAGUGGCAUGAUCCAGAGGAGGGCUACAGCGGACAACUCACCUGGACACGGCUGCCUCAGGG
Leopardus geoffroyi (Geoffroy's cat) is the source of this 842-nucleotide long non-coding RNA. RefSeq lists it as uncharacterized. Lineage: Eukaryota; Metazoa; Chordata; Mammalia; Carnivora; Felidae. The transcript is spliced from 2 exons. The record is from RefSeq and is a predicted model, not a curated record.